AUACUUACCUGGCAGGGGUGAUUCCAUGAUCAAGCAGGUGGAUCACCUAGAGUGAGGAUCAGCCAUUGCACUUCGGCUUUCUGACCUCUAUGAAUUCUCCACAUGUGAGAAUCUCAACUGCAUAAUUUCUGCUAGUGGGGACUGCGUUCGCGCUUUCCCCU
Molecule: small nuclear RNA, 161 nt
Organism: Cyprinus carpio carpio
Lineage: Eukaryota; Metazoa; Chordata; Actinopteri; Cypriniformes; Cyprinidae
Gene: U1
Rfam family: U1 spliceosomal RNA
About the family: U1 is a small nuclear RNA (snRNA) component of the spliceosome (involved in pre-mRNA splicing).
Source: Ensembl